RNAcentral lists this ribosomal RNA (272 nucleotides) under fungal sp. RNAcentral describes it as "partial small subunit ribosomal RNA". It matches the Rfam family "Eukaryotic small subunit ribosomal RNA", at positions 1427 to 1698 of the family's 1831-position model. Lineage: Eukaryota; Fungi. The record is from RNAcentral.
CGUUUAGUGGUAGGAAGUUUGAGGCAAUAACAGGUCUGUGAUGCCCUUAGAUGUUCUGGGCCGCACGCGCGCUACACUGACAAAGUCAGCGAGUCUAUAACCUUGGCCGGAAGGUCCGGGUAAUCUUGUGAAACUUUGUCGUGCUGGGGAUAGACCAUUGCAAUUAUUGGUCUUGAACGAGGAAUUCCUAGUAAGCGCAAGUCAUCAGCUUGCGUUGAUUACGUCCCUGCCCUUUGUACACACCGCCCAUCGCUACUACCGAUUGAAUGGCU